GCAUGGCCUGGAACUCUGAAUCGUAGCGCUGGUUGAUGUUGUCCCCAAUGAUGGCGAGCUGCCGACCCACCUGCCCCAUGGUGCUGCAGAACAGGAGGCAGGCCUGUUAGCUACGAACACUUCCUGAGCACCUAUGGUAUACUUCUACUGCUCCCCCAGGGGUGUCAGACACUGAAAAUGCACAUUAACCCAGCAAGUUUGUGGACCUCAGAGGUUACCCUUUCAAGACAGUCACCUGUUUACAUCCUACCUUGGCUUGGCUCUUCCCAUUCCUGCCUUGCCGUGAGCUGAGGAAGUCUUCUCCACAGCUCUCCCACCCCGCCCCCCACCUGACAUAUGUGUCCCCAC
Molecule: long non-coding RNA, 348 nt
Organism: Herpailurus yagouaroundi (jaguarundi)
Lineage: Eukaryota; Metazoa; Chordata; Mammalia; Carnivora; Felidae
Exons: 3
Source: RefSeq, a predicted model, not a curated record